CUCCACUCCAUCUAUCUCGGCUAGCUCUUCUUCACUUUUUGCGACGAUGGCUGAGUAUUAUUUUGACGAUUUUGAGUAUACGACUUACCAGAACGACAUCAUCGACAGCCAGGGUUUCUAUGUGUCGAAUGAUGUCGGGUUGAAGAUACCGUGCGGUAUACGGCGAGUGAGCCGUUGCGACGGCGCCGCCUACAAGAAAGCGGAGGCGGCGGCCCGGUUCGCGAUUGAGAAGCACAACAACCAGAGCGA
Molecule: long non-coding RNA, 249 nt
Organism: Ipomoea triloba (trilobed morning glory)
Lineage: Eukaryota; Viridiplantae; Streptophyta; Magnoliopsida; Solanales; Convolvulaceae
Exons: 2
Source: RefSeq, a predicted model, not a curated record